This 449-nucleotide ribosomal RNA is filed under the name uncultured bacterium. RNAcentral's name for it is "SSU rRNA". It matches the Rfam family "Bacterial small subunit ribosomal RNA", at positions 26 to 518 of the family's 1533-position model. The record is from RNAcentral.
AGAGCGAACGCUGGCGGCAGGCCUAACACAUGCAAGUCGAGCGCCCGUAGCAAUACGGGAGCGGCAGACGGGAUAGUAACACGUGGGAACGCGCCCUUCGGUUCGGAAUAACUCAGGGAAACUUGAGCUAAUACCGGAUACGCCCUUACGGGGAAAGAUUUAUUGCCGAAGGAACGGCCCGCGUCCGAUUAGCUAGUUGGUGAGGUAAUGGCUCACCAAGGCUCCGAUCGGUAGCUGGUCUGAGAGGAUGACCAGCAUCACUGGGACUGAGACACGGCCCAGACUCCUACGGGAGGCAGCAGUGGGGAAUAUUGGACAAUGGGCGCAAGCCUGAUCCAGCCAUGCCGCGUGGAUGAUGAAGGCCUUAGGGUUGUAAAGUCCGUUUUAACGGGGAAGAUAAUGACGGUACCCGUAGAAUAAGCCCCGGCUAACUUCGUGCCAGCAGCCGC